UCGGCGUAUCAAUAACUCCUGCUAUUGGUGCGGAAGCACCCAACACCUUAUAAAGGAUUGCCCUAAGUGACCAAAGGAUGUAGCCGGACUUGUAGCACAAGAUCGAGUGUACCACUUAGAUGAAUUUGAUGCCCUUUCUGCUCUUAUUCUCAUCUAGUUAUGCUUUCUAUUCAUAAUACUUCUGCCAAGGAUUUGAUCGAUACUGGUGCAGCUCAUUCUUUGAUUUCCUAUGCAUUUGCUUGUAAUCUAGAGUUUAAACCAGAAGUUUUAGAAAAAAUACUAAUGGUGGAAACUUCCUCUAAAGGACUAUUAGAAGCUCAUUGUGUAUAUAAGGACUGUAGGAU
RNAcentral lists this long non-coding RNA (344 nucleotides) under Carica papaya (papaya). RNAcentral describes it as "long non-coding RNA (CPAP_LNC008234)". Lineage: Eukaryota; Viridiplantae; Streptophyta; Magnoliopsida; Brassicales; Caricaceae. The record is from RNAcentral.